RNAcentral lists this unclassified non-coding RNA (2899 nucleotides) under Cimex lectularius (bed bug). RNAcentral's name for it is "phosphatidylinositol-binding clathrin assembly protein LAP, transcript variant X5". The record is from RNAcentral. Lineage: Eukaryota; Metazoa; Arthropoda; Insecta; Hemiptera; Cimicidae.
CGAGUCGGCAGUGGCAAGUCUGGAAUCGGACCAGAUGAGGAGCAGCAGUCGCCAUCUUCACAGCCGCGAGUAAAGGUGGCUGUCGCACCCUCAAAAUUCUUCGUUUCUAGGAGUAGAUCCUGCCGAAGGAGCGGAAAGCGUUCGCCGCCCGGUUUGCAAAGCGCGAGUUUCUCCCGUGCUGUCCCGUUCGUCCCGGUGACUGUGAUAGAGGCGAGAGGGAAGCCGGUCUGGCCGGAGGAGCAUCUCCGCCCUCCUCAUCUUCUCUGACACUUCGUACACGUUCCCCGGUUUAACUUCCCGACCGCGAGCGAUGAGUGUGAAAAUGGCCGGGCAGACUAUGACGGAUAGGCUGCUCGCGGCGCGGCACAGCAUCGCAGGCCAAGGGCUCGCCAAGUCCGUCUGCAAGGCGACCACCGAAGAGCUCAUCGGGCCCAAGAAGAAACAUUUGGACUAUCUAAUCCACUGCACAAAUGAGCCAAACGUAUCAAUACCUCAGCUGGCGAAUCUUCUCAUUGAAAGGACACAGAAUACAAACUGGGUCGUAGUCUUUAAAGCGCUCAUUACUGUACAUCAUCUCAUGUGUUACGGAAAUGAGAGGUUCACGCAGUACCUCGCAUCCAGCAACAGCACGUUUCAGCUGAGCAACUUCCUCGACAAAAGUGGAGUACAAGCCACAGGUGCUAGAGUCGGCUACGAUAUGUCCCCGUUUAUCAGACGAUAUGCCAAGUACCUCAACGAGAAAGCGAUGUCAUACAGGACUGUGGCUUUCGACUUCUGCAAAGUAAAGAGGGGAAAGGAGGACGGAGUUCUGCGAACGAUGAACUCUGAGAAAUUACUUAAAACUCUGCCAGUGCUUCAAGGCCAAUUGGAUGAACUUCUCGAGUUCGACUGCACUGCUGCCGAUCUUAGCAAUGGUGUGAUUAACAUGGCUUUCAUGUUACUCUUUAGGGACCUUAUCCGCUUAUUUGCUGGCUAUAAUGAUAGUAUUAUUAACCUAUUAGAAAAGUAUUUUGAAAUGAAUAAAAAACAAUGUAGGCAAGCCUUAGACUUAUACAAAAAAUUCCUGAUAAGAAUGGAUAGGGUUGGAGAAUUUUUAAAAGUCGCAGAAAAUGUAGGUAUAGAUAAAGGAGAAAUCCCGGAUUUAACAAAGGCUCCAAGCAGCCUCCUUGAUGCUCUUGAACAACAUCUUGCUGCACUCGAAGGCAAAAAAGGCUCAGCAGCAAAUACUCCCACACAGUCUGCCAGCAUUAGGCCGAGAUCAAGCUAUUCCUACCUUCCCUGUCCUCAAGCUCCUUACCAUUACUCCGACAACUAUUGGAUCCGCCAACGAUCCGAUGUGAAGAGCGGGGUUUCAGCCCUCAGUAACACAAGCAGCGCUUUCGGCACAGCAGCAGCGCACAAUGUCGACGCCAGUGAAGAAGCUCUGAGACAACAGGCUCUUGCUGAGGAAGAAGCAGCAAUAAAUCAUUAUAAGUCAAAAGUGCAAUCACCCACCAAUUCUGGUGCAACAGCUACAAACCCAUUCCUUGUCGGUUCACCGACACAGCCGAUAGUUGAUUUAUUCGCUGCUCCGAUUCCAACUAAUGAAGUACACGUGCAACAAUCGACCAAAGCUUCAGAUGACUUGCUGCAGCUUGGGAACCCAUUUGCAGAUAUGUUCAGUACCCCUGCGCCCACUGCCGGCGUGCCAGCAGCACCGCUUGCAGCUGUCCAGCCACAAGCGCCUGUCAAUAAUGUUUGGAUGUCAAAUGGUUUCAAUGCUGCUCCUGCACCAGCUCCCGCUAAUGCAUUCGUCAGCGACAACACCUUUAACUCAGUCUUCGGAGGAGCAACUGAUAACGGCACUGCAGCUCCACAAGCUGGCGUAGUGGAUCCCACGGUGAAUCCUUUUAUGACAGACUUCCCCGCGGGUGAAGAGCCGGGGAAGACUGCGACUCCUCCUCCUCCCAGACCUCCUCCUCCUCGUCCUUCCUCACCGCCCAAGACGGCCCUGGACGACCUGAACGACUCGAUAAGGAUGGCGAUGGGCGGGACGCCCUCACCGUCGAGGCCUCCGCUUCCUUCUGCUCCCACUCCCAUUCCCCAACAACAGCCGUACCAAAUCCCGCCCCAGAACCCGCAGAUGCACUACAGUUCUCCGGCCAAGGUACCCUUGGUAGCGAUGCAAGGAGGAGCGGAAUCUCAGACAGGCAAAGUCCUCACUGGCGAUCUGGACACCAGUUUAGCAAUGCUCGCCGAGAAUCUCACGAUGAACAAGGGCAACCAGCAGACACAGAAGGGCAUGCAAUGGAACUCACCGAAGAACACAGCAAAAGGCGCGGGUGGCACGGGGUGGAGCCCUCAACCUAUGGCUGCUACGACAGGCGCCAACUACAGACCCAUGGGCCAGGGCAUGAUGAGCACGCCGCAAUUCAACAAUUUCCACCAUAUGGGUAUGAUGCCAGGUGGUAUGGGCUCUCCAAGGCAAGUCCCUCCAAGUGCCCAGCCCCCUUCGCAGGCACAGGAGUUAGACCCUUUCGGUGCUCUUUGAACAGAAAGGUGUAAAAUGAAAAUGAAAGUCCAUUGUGCAAAGCAAGCUGCAUAAAUCAGCAUGUUGAGGAUGUGCUUGUAUUCGAUUUUUUCUUCUUUUUUUAAAGCCAGAAUUUGAAGUUGCAUUGUUCGACCUUUUUCUUUCUAAGCCUGUUUCUUCGACAAGGGGUUGAAAAUGUCAAAAAGAAGAAUAGGCAGGCGAGGUGUUAGACUCAUCAAACGAAGUCCUUGUAACACGGCCAACGAGAUACCAAGGAACUAUUACGCUAAGGACUUUAUGGCAUCCGGGACGAGUCUAACGAUCGAGGUCUUCAAAAGGUCUUAAGUAAAAUUACCCAAUGGGUCAAACAUUAAAACUGUUGUGAGAAAA